RNAcentral lists this ribosomal RNA (491 nucleotides) under uncultured bacterium. RNAcentral's name for it is "partial 16S ribosomal RNA". It matches the Rfam family "Bacterial small subunit ribosomal RNA", at positions 28 to 507 of the family's 1533-position model. The record is from RNAcentral.
GAUGAACGCUGGCUACAGGCUUAACACAUGCAAGUCGAGGGGAAACGACGGGGAAGCUUGCUUCCCCGGGCGUCGACCGGCGCACGGGUGAGUAACGCGUAUCCAACCUGCCUCUGACUGAGGGAUAACCCGUCGAAAGUCGGCCUAAUACCUCAUGGCAUCGUCUGCGGGCAUCCAACGACGAUUAAAGAUUUCAUCGGUCAGGGAUGGGGAUGCGUCUGAUUAGCUUGUUGGCGGGGUAACGGCCCACCAAGGCUACGAUCAGUAGGGGUUCUGAGAGGAAGGUCCCCCACAUUGGAACUGAGACACGGUCCAAACUCCUACGGGAGGCAGCAGUGAGGAAUAUUGGUCAAUGGGCGGGAGCCUGAACCAGCCAAGUAGCGUGCAGGAUGACGGCCCUAUGGGUUGUAAACUGCUUUUAUGCGGGGAUAAAGUGAGGGGCGUGUCCUUCAUUGCAGGUACCGCAUGAAUAAGGACCGGCUAAUUCCGUG